AGAACGAACGCUGGCGGCAGGCCUAACACAUGCAAGUCGAGCGGUAGAGAGGUGCUUGCAUCUCUUGAGAGCGGCGGACGGGUGAGUAAUGCCUAGGAAUCUGCCUAGUGGUGGGGGAUAACGUUCGGAAACGGACGCUAAUACCGCAUACGUCCUACGGGAGAAAGCGGGGGACCUUCGGGCCUCGCGCCAUUAGAUGAGCCUAGGUCGGAUUAGCUAGUUGG
Molecule: ribosomal RNA, 224 nt
Filed under: uncultured soil bacterium
Lineage: Bacteria
Description: partial 16S ribosomal RNA
Rfam family: Bacterial small subunit ribosomal RNA
Source: RNAcentral